CACCAUAAAUGGCUGCCUACGUACUCCCAUUGAUGGGGGGAGAUCAAGUCUUUCGUAGUUUAGGCUUGAUGAGCUGAAACCUGAAUGACUUGAUUUUUGAUUUUUCUUUUUUUCUUUUUUCUUUUUCUCUUUUUUUCUUCUUUUUUUUUUCUUUUCUCUUUUUUUUGCUUUGUUUCUUUUUUUUCUUUUCUUUUUUCUCUUAUUUUUUCUUUUUUUUUUCAAUUUUUACACGCAUGGAAAAUAAAAGGCAUACUACGAAGAAAUUGAUACCGUCCCAACAUCUUCUGGAACUAGCAACUUUAUCCCCUGGAUCUACAUCUUUUUGGCUAGUUGAGGCCUGAUAGUCCAGUUGUCAGUGGUUGUGUUGCCUAUAAGGCUCGCGACAGAGGUUACUUCUUGGUUUUGAAUGUCUUCACUUAUGGCCAUAACUUGAUCACUUCCUGGUUCAGUACAUUCCUCAGGGAUGCUUGAGCUGGACCCAUCGCAAAAAGGUAUGGACUCUUGAUUCUUUGAUGGGUUGGUUUCCCCGACAACCUCACCACCUUCUCCUUCAUCUGUUCC
This 561-nucleotide long non-coding RNA is filed under the name Panax ginseng (ginseng). RNAcentral describes it as "long non-coding RNA (PGIN_LNC000336)". Lineage: Eukaryota; Viridiplantae; Streptophyta; Magnoliopsida; Apiales; Araliaceae. The record is from RNAcentral.